GGGGAAUAUUGGACAAUGGGCGUAAGCCUAAUCCAGCAAUGCCGCGUGGGUGAAGAAGGUUUUCGGAUUGUAAAGCCCUUUCGGCGGGGACGAUGAUGACGGUACCCGCAGAAGAAGCCCCGGCUAACUUCGUGCCAGCAGCCGCGGUAAUACGAAGGGGGCUAGCGUUGCUCGGAAUUACUGGGCGUAAAGGGCGCGUAGGCGGUUGGUACAGUCGGGUGUGAAAUUCCUGGGCUUAACCUGGGGGGUGCAUUUGAUACGGGCUGGCUUGAGUGGGGGAGAGGGUCGUGGAAUUCCCAGUGUAGAGGUGAAAUUCGUAGAUAUUGGGAAGAACACCGGUGGCGAAGGCGGCGACCUGGUCCUUGACUGACGCUGAGGCGCGAAAGCGUGGGGAGCAAACA
RNAcentral lists this ribosomal RNA (401 nucleotides) under uncultured bacterium. Its description in RNAcentral is "bacterial SSU rRNA". It matches the Rfam family "Bacterial small subunit ribosomal RNA", at positions 356 to 774 of the family's 1533-position model. The record is from RNAcentral.